CCCUGGGUGGUGCAAAUGGUUAACACGCUCCACUGCUAAGGGAAAGGUUGAUGGUUUGAGUCCAUCUAGAGGCA
RNAcentral lists this transfer RNA (74 nucleotides) under Loxodonta africana (African savanna elephant). It matches the Rfam family "tRNA". Rfam says of the family: Transfer RNA (tRNA) molecules are approximately 80 nucleotides in length. Lineage: Eukaryota; Metazoa; Chordata; Mammalia; Proboscidea; Elephantidae. The record is from Rfam by way of RNAcentral.